CUACAGGUUCCUAUGGAGAUAACUGUUCCACUGCUUGUCCAUAUCCGUCUUGGGGGGAGAACUGUCGUUUCCAGUGUAAUUGUAGUGCGGAUGAAGUUUGUAGUCCCCAUAUAGGGUGUGUCAAAACAAGUACCGCGUCCACUUCUACAACAAGUACCGAAGCAGGAAACGACAUGAAGUCAAUUCAAAAAUCCCCAAAAGUCGAAACAAAAUCAACGAGAAAUCCUAACAGUUCAAAAGUAGACGAAGUAUAUCCUGUUCCUACGGAUAUCAUUCCUACCUUAGCAGUGGUAUCCAAGGAAACAAAUUCUGUGACUCCUAAGUCAGCUUCUGGAGGCAAUUGGUAUAGCAACUUUGUACAACGAUGC
Molecule: long non-coding RNA, 368 nt
Organism: Ostrea edulis (European flat oyster)
Lineage: Eukaryota; Metazoa; Mollusca; Bivalvia; Ostreida; Ostreidae
Exons: 3
Source: RefSeq, a predicted model, not a curated record